RNAcentral lists this non-coding RNA (436 nucleotides) under Pongo abelii (Sumatran orangutan). Lineage: Eukaryota; Metazoa; Chordata; Mammalia; Primates; Hominidae. The record is from RNAcentral.
UUCCUAUACAACCCUUUAAUGCAACAAUGGGACGAAGAGAUGAAGACUUCUAGCAGGCUACCUCAGAAAGGUUGCUGACCAAAGGCUGUGUGGACCAAAAAGUCAUAACACCAUCCUGGAUGAUAGGACAUUUACCUAAGGAAUUACCCUCUCUCAAUUCUUCCCAGUGGUGCUUCGUGAACCCUGGAUGCUACAGUCUCUGGCCACAGCACUAAAUGUAUGCUGAGAUCUGGCUUCACGGUCAAGGGCGCUGCUGGUUUUCAAUGUGCCUGACAUGGGAUCAAUGGUGAAUGCACCAGAAGCCUCAUCAGUCAGAAAAUACUCAGUUUGCCCAUUCAGGCCUUCAUCCUUGUCCACAGCUGAAAGCACAAGAACCACUGUUCCCACUUCAGCAUCUUCUCUCACAGAGGACUGGUAAUAAAGUGUGGGAAAAGAA